This 253-nucleotide ribosomal RNA is filed under the name uncultured bacterium. RNAcentral's name for it is "partial 16S ribosomal RNA". It matches the Rfam family "Bacterial small subunit ribosomal RNA", at positions 524 to 776 of the family's 1533-position model. The record is from RNAcentral.
UACAGAGGGGGCAAGCGUUGUUCGGAAUUACUGGGCGUAAAGGGCGCGUAGGCGGCCUGCUAAGUCGGACGUGAAAUCCCCGGGCUCAACCCGGGAACUGCGUCCGAUACUGGUUGGCUUGAGUCCGGGAGAGGGAUGCGGAAUUCCAGGUGUAGCGGUGAAAUGCGUAGAUAUCUGGAGGAACACCGGUGGCGAAGGCGGCAUCCUGGACCGGCAUUGACGCUGAGGCGCGAAAGCGUGGGGAGCAAACAGG